This 253-nucleotide ribosomal RNA is filed under the name uncultured bacterium. Its description in RNAcentral is "partial 16S ribosomal RNA". It matches the Rfam family "Bacterial small subunit ribosomal RNA", at positions 524 to 776 of the family's 1533-position model. The record is from RNAcentral.
UACAGAGGGUGCAAGCGUUGUUCGGAAUUACUGGGCGUAAAGCGCGUGUAGGUGGCGAUGUAAGUCGGAUGUGAAAUCCCUCGGCUUAACCGAGGAAGUGCAUUCGAUACUGCGUUGCUUGAGUACUGGAGGGGGUGGCGGAAUUCCCGGUGUAGAGGUGAAAUUCGUAGAUAUCGGGAGGAACACCUGUGGCGAAGGCGGCCACCUGGACAGUCACUGACACUGAGACGCGAAAGCGUGGGUAGCAAACAGG